This 2502-nucleotide long non-coding RNA is filed under the name Oncorhynchus mykiss (rainbow trout). RNAcentral describes it as "lncRNA (ENSOMYG00000055772.1)". Lineage: Eukaryota; Metazoa; Chordata; Actinopteri; Salmoniformes; Salmonidae. The record is from RNAcentral.
GGUCUCCAACAAAGGUGAGUUGAAGAUUACAAAUUAUUUUCCCUGCCUUUCUAUUUCUGCUUAUAUGUCGACACAUAGGUAGUAAAAAGGCUCUCCCUCUCUAUUCCAGGGGUCCCCCACCAAUAACGUGUCCCCGACCUCCACCCCCGCCAAAUCUGCAGCCGCCGUGCCCACCCUAGUGCCGCCCCCCGAAGAAGCCACUGAGUGAGUGACUACUUCCUCUGCCUACCACAGUUUACCUCGUCACCUCAGGGAUUUCCUCAGUUCUGGCAUUCAAGCAUUCUAUGUGUUCCAUUUAUUUGGUAAAACUGUGAAUAAGAGUCCAUUCUUCCUUCCCCUUCCAUUCUCUCUCUAUCCCUUUAUCUCGCUCUAGUUCUCUGUUGGAUCUGGACCCUCUGUCCUCCUCUGGUCCGUCAGCAGGAGCCUCAGCAGCCCCUAUGUCCUGGGGAGACCUCCUUGGAUCAGAAAUGGGCGAGUCCAUGCUUCCUGACCCCACCCUCGCUGUAGACACCGCUCCCUCUCCCGCGGGGGUAACGCCCACCCCUGUAGCCGCAGAGCCAGGAGUCACUCUGGCUCCUCCCCCUAGUGCGGCCGCCACCAACCCCCCCGGUGCGACGAAUAUGGAUCUGCUGGGAGGUCAGUGGGCUUCUGGAGGAUUCCCAACCACAGAAUCUCUGCUGGACAGCUCAACCCCAACCAACCCUCCACAUGCACACACAGGAGAUGUAGUGUUCUCUACCUGCAUGUACACACACUAACGCACAUGUUUAGUCUCUGCAUGUACGUACACACAGUGACCCAGAUACCCCAAAACAAACACAUCCAUUUGGGAAGAACAUGUCAUACAUACUGGUAUGCAUUUAUUUUUUAACAUCUUAUGCUGUAUUCUAACUGACUUAUAUGACACAGAUCUACACACAGAGACAAGCAUGCUCACACUUGUAGACCCACUCAGACAUGCUACCCAUACAUUUUCACAUGCUUCAUUUUGUUUGAUAGUCCGACAGCUUUUUCUUAACUUCAGAGAAAAGCCAAACUAUCAAACAGAGUCAUGUUCUUUAUUGCCGCCUAAAAGACACAUUGCUUUGCUUCUGGUUCCAUUCUGUGGCCUGCUUGUCCGGUUAUGUAGUGCAACAGACCUAGUUACCGCUUUCUAGUUUAGUUGUAGCUAAAGCCCGCCUUCCAUAGCCUUCCAUAGCCUUCCAUAGGCCUUGCUGUGCCUCCGGUCUGUAUUCUCAUUUGUCCUUCACCGGUCAAUCAUUCAUGCCACAAAGUAAAUGUUUUGUAACUAAUCUAAACUGAAUUUAUUACAGUAAUCAAAAGAUGGCUCAGUUGAAUAGUAUCUCUCUGCAAUAUAUCUCUCUGCAAUAAAAUACGUAUAUUACAUAUCUUAUGCCUGACAUUACAUUACAAGUAUUUAAUAUAGUUACAGUAUAUUAAGUCAAUUAAAUACCUAACAAAGUGAAAGUAGUAUUUCUAAACUCUGCUUAGAGGCACAGACCAUCUUUUAGGUGGCUUCUUCCUUUUCUGACUUACUCUCUUUAUUGUCUGGCUUGUUUCUUUUCUCCGUCCUUUUCUCUCCGUGCCUCUCUCUCUGUCGUCUGUGUGUGUGUUGGGUAUCAGAUGCGUUUUCGACCCCUGCUCCCGCCUCUGAUGCCGCUGCCGAGGGCGGGGCUCCGGCCCCCACGCCAACCCCAGCUGCCGACGCUGCAGCCGGUGGGUUGCAGGACGAGUGUCUCUGUCGAUGUAAAUGGCUGUGUGUAUAGUUUUGUGGCUGUGUGUGUGUUUGGCUGUAUUCGAGUGCUCGGUGCAUCCGUGCUUAUGUGUUUUUGUGUAUGGAGAGUGUGUUUCAACAGUUGAUCCCAUUGCUGUGAGCGGGUGUAGCUAGUUUCCCUAGAAAGGUGGUGCUGCUGUUUGUUUCUGGGCAUUGUUGUUGCAGUUACUAUGGAGAUUGUUGCUGAGGUUGAUUUUAGGACAGUGGUUGACCACCAUGCUUAGAUACCCCCUGGGGUUUCCUUUCACGCUGUAAAUCUCAAAAUACAUCUGCAAGCUCUGUGGUUACACUCUGUAAAUCUGGUCUAGUAUGGGUAUUUCAGAGAGUAUUAUGAGAGAGUGUGAAUACUACUAAUACUGCUUUCUCCAAUAUGUUUCCCUCUUUUCACAAAUCGUGUUCUUUUCUUAUCAUUUUUCAUCAGACAUGCUUAUUUUCCAGAUUCUCUUGAUCAUACGGUACUUCAUAGUGUUUUACAUGUACUGUAUGUUUAUGAAGAAUAUGGAGCUGUGAAUUCCCUAACUAAGCCUGUAUCUUCAGAAUUUCAGCCGAAUGCACCUAUUCCUCCUCCCUAUUUCACAGAAUACAGCUCUUGCCAUACCUCUAGGUUUAUUUCACACUGUGUUAUGGUGGUUGUGUAAUAUCUCCAUCCCCCUUGUCAUCCCCUCCCUGGUUCUUUCCUCCCAAAGACCCCUUUGCCCCCACUGGUAGCAGCUCAAAUGCAGUAGGCC